RNAcentral lists this ribosomal RNA (504 nucleotides) under uncultured bacterium. Its description in RNAcentral is "bacterial SSU rRNA". It matches the Rfam family "Bacterial small subunit ribosomal RNA", at positions 28 to 521 of the family's 1533-position model. The record is from RNAcentral.
GAUGAACGCUAGCGACAGGCUUAACACAUGCAAGUCGAGGGGCAGCAUGAUUUGUAGCAAUACAGAUUGAUGGCGACCGGCGCACGGGUGAGUAACGCGUAUGCAACUUACCUAUCAGAGGGGGAUAGCCCGGCGAAAGUCGGAUUAAUACCCCAUAAAACAGGGGUCCCGCAUGGGAAUAUUUGUUAAAGAUUCAUCGCUGAUAGAUAGGCAUGCGUUCCAUUAGGCAGUUGGCGGGGUAACGGCCCACCAAACCGACGAUGGAUAGGGGUUCUGAGAGGAAGGUCCCCCACAUUGGUACUGAGACACGGACCAAACUCCUACGGGAGGCAGCAGUGAGGAAUAUUGGUCAAUGGCCGAGAGGCUGAACCAGCCAAGUCGCGUGAAGGAAGAAGGAUCUAUGGUUUGUAAACUUCUUUUAUAGGGGAAUAAAGUGGAGGACGUGUCCUUUUUGUAUGUACCCUAUGAAUAAGCAUCGGCUAACUCCGUGCCAGCAGCCGCGGU